GUGGGGAAUCUUGCGCAAUGGGCGAAAGCCUGACGCAGCCAUGCCGCGUGAAUGAUGAAGGUCUUAGGAUUGUAAAAUUCUUUCACCGGGGACGAUAAUGACGGUACCCGGAGAAGAAGCCCCGGCUAACUUCGUGCCAGCAGCCGCGGUAAUACGAAGGGGGCUAGCGUUGCUCGGAAUUACUGGGCGUAAAGGGCGCGUAGGCGGACAGUUUAGUCAGAGGUGAAAGCCCAGGGCUCAACCUUGGAAUUGCCUUUGAUACUGGCUGUCUUGAGUACGGGAGAGGUGAGUGGAACUCCGAGUGUAGAGGUGAAAUUCGUAGAUAUUCGGAAGAACACCAGUGGCGAAGGCGACUCACUGGCCCGUUACUGACGCUGAGGCGCGAAAGCGUGGGGAGCAAACAGGAUUAGAUACCUUUGUAGUCC
Molecule: ribosomal RNA, 425 nt
Filed under: uncultured bacterium
Lineage: Bacteria
Description: partial 16S ribosomal RNA
Rfam family: Bacterial small subunit ribosomal RNA
Source: RNAcentral